This 759-nucleotide ribosomal RNA is filed under the name uncultured Prevotella sp. Its description in RNAcentral is "bacterial SSU rRNA". It matches the Rfam family "Bacterial small subunit ribosomal RNA", at positions 28 to 776 of the family's 1533-position model. Lineage: Bacteria; Pseudomonadati; Bacteroidota; Bacteroidia; Bacteroidales; Prevotellaceae. The record is from RNAcentral.
GAUGAACGCUAGCUACAGGCUUAACACAUGCAAGUCGCAGGGUAACAUGAGGAAAGCUUGCUUUCCUUGAUGACGACUGGCGCACGGGUGAGUAACGCGUAUCCAACCUUCCCAUAACUACGGGAUAACCCGUUGAAAGACGGCCUAAUACCGUAUGACAUCGUUUGCUGACAUCAAAUAACGAUUAAAGGUUUAGCGGUUAUGGAUGGGGAUGCGUCUGAUUAGCUUGUUGGCGGGGUAACGGCCCACCAAGGCGACGAUCAGUAGGGGUUCUGAGAGGAAGGUCCCCCACAUUGGAACUGAGACACGGUCCAAACUCCUACGGGAGGCAGCAGUGAGGAAUAUUGGUCAAUGGGCGAGAGCCUGAACCAGCCAAGUAGCGUGCAGGACGACGGCCCUAUGGGUUGUGAACUGCUUUUAUGUGGGGAUAAAGUGCGUGACGUGUCAUGCAUUGCAGGUACCACAUGAAUAAGGACCGGCUAAUUCCGUGCCAGCAGCCGCGGUAAUACGGAAGGUCCGGGCGUUAUCCGGAUUUAUUGGGUUUAAAGGGAGCGUAGGCUGUCUAUUAAGCGUGUUGUGAAAUAUACCGGCUCAACCGGUGGCUUGCAGCGCGAACUGGUCGACUUGAGUAUGCAGGAAGUAGGCGGAAUUCAUGGUGUAGCGGUGAAAUGCUUAGAUAUCAUGACGAACUCCGAUUGCGCAGGCAGCUUACUGUAGCAUAACUGACGCUGAUGCUCGAAAGUGCGGGUAUCAAACAGG